UCGGCUUAGAGUUUGAUCAUGGCUCAGAUUGAACGCUGGCGGCAGGCUUAACACAUGCAAGUCGAACGGUAAAGUAGCUUGCUACUUACGAGUGGCGGACGGGUGAGUAACGUAUGGGAAUUUACCGAAUGGAGGGGGACAACAGUUGGAAACGGCUGCUAAUACCGCAUAACGUCGAGAGACCAAAGGGUUUCGACUUGCCAUUUGAUGAGCCCAUAUGAGAUUAGCUAGUUGGUGUGGUAAUGGCUCACCAAGGCGACGAUCUCUAGCUGGUUUGAGAGGAUGACCAGCCACACUGGGACUGAGACACGGCCCAGACUCCUACGGGAGGCAGCAGUGGGGAAUAUUGCACAAUGGGGGGAACCCUGAUGCAGCCAUGCCGCGUGUAUGAAGAAGGCCUUAGGGUUGUAAAGUACUUUCGUGGAGGAGGAAGGGUUUACGUAAUCGUGGACAUUGACGUUACUCCAAGAAGAAGCACCGGCUAACUCCGUGCCAGCAGCCGCGGUAAUACGGAGGGUGCGAGCGUUAAUCGGAAUGACUGGGCGUAAAGGGCAUGUAGGCGGAUGAUUAGUUAGAUGUGAAAUCCCCGGGCUU
Molecule: ribosomal RNA, 594 nt
Filed under: uncultured Enterobacteriaceae bacterium
Lineage: Bacteria; Pseudomonadati; Pseudomonadota; Gammaproteobacteria; Enterobacterales; Enterobacteriaceae
Description: bacterial SSU rRNA
Rfam family: Bacterial small subunit ribosomal RNA
Source: RNAcentral